Molecule: ribosomal RNA, 497 nt
Filed under: uncultured bacterium
Lineage: Bacteria
Description: partial 16S ribosomal RNA
Rfam family: Bacterial small subunit ribosomal RNA
Source: RNAcentral
GAUGAACGCUGGCGGCGUGCCUAAUACAUGCAAGUCGAGCGAACGGACGAGAAGCUUGCUUUUCUGAUGUUAGCGGCGGACGGGUGAGUAACACGUGGAUAACCUACCUAUAAGACUGGGAUAACUUCGGGAAACCGGAGCUAAUACCGGAUAAUAUUUUGAACCGCAUGGUUCAAAAGUGAAAGACGGUCUUGCUGUCACUUAUAGAUGGAUCCGCGCUGCAUUAGCUAGUUGGUAAGGUAACGGCUUACCAAGGCAACGAUGCAUAGCCGACCUGAGAGGGUGAUCGGCCACACUGGAACUGAGACACGGUCCAGACUCCUACGGGAGGCAGCAGUAGGGAAUCUUGCGCAAAAGGCGAAAGCCUGACGGAGCAACGCCGCGUGAGUGAUGAAGGUCUUCGGAUCGUAAAACUCUGUUAUUAGGGAAGAACAUAUGUGUAAGUAACUGUGCACGUCUUGACGGUACCUAAUCAGAAAGCCACGGCUAACUACGUG